This 249-nucleotide ribosomal RNA is filed under the name Botrytis cinerea. RNAcentral's name for it is "partial large subunit ribosomal RNA". It matches the Rfam family "Eukaryotic large subunit ribosomal RNA", at positions 398 to 664 of the family's 3401-position model. Lineage: Eukaryota; Fungi; Ascomycota; Leotiomycetes; Helotiales; Sclerotiniaceae. The record is from RNAcentral. RNAcentral also lists the same sequence under 1 other name.
CGUGAAAUUGUUGAAAGGGAAGCGCUUGCAAUCAGACUUGCACUUGGUGUUCAUCAGGGUCUCGUACCCUGUGUACUUCAUCAAGUUCAGGCCAGCAUCAGUUUGAGUGGUUAGAUAAAGGCUUAGAGAAUGUGGCCCUCUUCGGGGGGUGUUAUAGCUCUAGGUGCAAUGUAGCCUACUUGGACUGAGGACCGCGCUUCGGCUAGGAUGCUGGCGUAAUGGUUGUAAGCGACCCGUCUUGAAACACGG